Phyllostomus discolor (pale spear-nosed bat) is the source of this 110-nucleotide small nuclear RNA. Lineage: Eukaryota; Metazoa; Chordata; Mammalia; Chiroptera; Phyllostomidae. The record is from RefSeq and is a predicted model, not a curated record.
GAGCUCGCUUUGCUGGCACUCAUACUAAAAUCGGAACAACACAGAGAAGAUUCUUGGGGCUCCUAAUGGGCAAGGAAGACACGCAAAUGGGUAACGUGUUCCAUAUUUUU